AAUAGAUACCCGGGUAGUCCACGCCGUAAACGAUGAUAACUAGCUACCCGGGCACUUGGUGCUUGGGUGGCGCAGCUAACGCAUUAAGUUAUCCGCCUGGGGAGUACGGUCGCAAGAUUAAAACUCAAAGGAAUUGACGGGGGCCUGCACAAGCGGUGGAGCAUGUGGUUUAAUUCGAAGCAACGCGCAGAACCUUACCAGCCUUUGACAUCCCGCGCUAACCUGAGAGAUCAGGGGUUCCCUUCGGGGACGCGGUGACAGGUGCUGCAUAGCUGUCGUCAGCUCGUGUCGUGAGAUGUUGGGUUAAGUCCCGCAACGAGCGCAACCCUCGUCCUUAGUUGCCAUCAUUCAGUUGGGCACUCUAAGGAAACCGCCGGUGAUAAGCCGGAGGAAGGUGGGGAUGACGUCAAGUCCUCAUGGCCCUUACAGGCUGGGCUACACACGUGCUACAAUGGCGGUGACAGUGGGCAGCAAGCACGCGAGUGUGAGCUAAUCUCCAAAAGCCGUCUCAGUUCGGAUUGUUCU
RNAcentral lists this ribosomal RNA (525 nucleotides) under uncultured bacterium. RNAcentral describes it as "bacterial SSU rRNA". It matches the Rfam family "Bacterial small subunit ribosomal RNA", at positions 777 to 1304 of the family's 1533-position model. The record is from RNAcentral.